RNAcentral lists this transfer RNA (539 nucleotides) under uncultured cyanobacterium. RNAcentral describes it as "partial contains 16S ribosomal RNA, 16S-23S ribosomal RNA intergenic spacer, and 23S ribosomal RNA". The stretch from base 212 to 284 matches the Rfam family "tRNA". Lineage: Bacteria; Bacillati; Cyanobacteriota. The record is from RNAcentral.
CAGGGAGACAACAAAAUGUUAAAUAUUAUAAUUUUGUCACCUUAGGUCGAUCGGUAUCUCACGUUUUUAAUUUAUUAAGAAUUUCAUUUCCUAAGUUUUUCUAGGUCACACCCAUUAUUUUUCCUGGGCCAUUAGCUCAGGUGGUUAGAGCGCACCCCUGAUAAGGGUGAGGUCCCUGGUUCAAGUCCAGGAUGGCCCAUAUCUCUAUGUUGGGGGUAUAGCUCAGUUGGUAGAGCGCCUGCUUUGCAAGCAGGAUGUCAGCGGUUCGAGUCCGCUUACCUCCACUGAUUACCACCUCUUCCAUAAUUUUUAUUAGGGAAUUGUUUUGAGUAGUGAUCAAAUUCUGAACGAAUCUAGCUUCCUAAUGAAUUAAUUAAGAUGCUGGACUCAUUGAAUUAAUUUCAUUGUUUUCAGAGAACCUUGACAACUGCAUAGAUUAUUUUUAAAGACAAUAAGCAUCUUUAUGAUGCAGAUUUAUUAUUUGUGCGAAUGCAUUAAUAACAAUUCUAUUAAGCUGAUGCUUCAAUUAUGAAGUUAUU